AUCAGCGUCGCCGCGGUCUCAGUUCUAAAGUUCCCACGCUCCCACCCGGACUCAGAGUCUCCUCAGACGCCGAGAUGCGGUCAUGGCGCCCCGAACCGUCCUCCUGCUGCUCUCGGGGGCCCUGGCCCUGACCGAGACCUGGGCCGGCUCGCACUCCUUGAGGUAUUUCAGCACCGCCGUGUCCCGGCCCGGCCGCGGGGAGCCCCGCUUCAUCUCCGUGGGCUACGUGGACGACACGCAGUUCCUGCGGUUCGACAGCGACGCCGCGAGUCCGAGGAUGGAGCCGCGGGCGCCGUGGGCGGAGCAGGAGGGGCCGGAGUAUUGGGAAGAGCAGACAGGGCUCGCCAAGGACAUCACACAGUCCUUCCGAGUGGGUCUGGGGAACCUGCGCGGCUACUACAACCAGAGCGAGGCGGGGUCUCACACCCUCCAGUGGAUGUAUGGCUGCGACCUGGGGCCCGACGGGCGCCUCCUCCGCGGGUAUCACCAGUUCGCCUACGACGGCAAGGAUUACAUCGCCCUGAACGGAGACCUGCGUUCCUGGACCGCGGCAGACACGGCGGCUCAGAUAACCCAGCGCAAGUGGGAGGCGGCCCGCGAGGCAGAGCAGAUGAGAGCCUACCUGGAGGGGACGUGCCUGGAGUGGCUCCGCAGACACAUGGAGAACGGGAAGGAGACGCUGCAGCGCGCGGACCCCCCAAAGACACACGUGACCCACCACCCCGUCUCUGACCAUGAGGCCACCCUGAGGUGCUGGGCCCUGGGCUUCUACCCUGCGGAGAUCACACUGACCUGGCAGCGGGAUGGGGAGGACCAAACUCAGGACACCGAGCUUGUGGAGACCAGGCCAGUAGGAGAUGGAACCUUCCAGAAGUGGGCAGCUGUGGUGGUGUCUUCUGGAGAAGAGCAGAGAUACACGUGCCAUGUGCAGCAUAAGGGGCUGCCGGAGCCCCUCACCCUGAGAUGGGAGCCAUCUUCCCAGUCCACCAUCCCCAUCGUGGGCAUCGUUGCUGGCCUGGCUGUCCUAGCAGUUGUGGUCACUGGAGCUGUGGUCGCUGCUGUGAUGUGGAGGAGGAAGAGCUCAGUGGGGUGGAGGCCAGGUAGAGAAUUCAGGAUGUGGCUCUCGCACAAGGAACACCUGUGAAUGCUGCUCUCUGACACCCGCCCACAGACUCAUUUCCCACUCACUUCUUGGAGCAAACUACGGAAAACAGAUUUCUGUAAUGUACACAUAAAGUCGUAUAUCUGGUAUUGGGGGCUAGUUUUAUUGUGGAGAUGGCCACAGAAGCAGGCUGGAACCUACACAUCCAGGAACAGAAUCCACAGCCCACCCUGGAUCAGGUCCCUCCUAGGAACAACUGCCCCUGCUGCUGAGCACAGACGCCACUGCUCACACCUCUGACACCUGGUGCUGGACACUGGACCCUGAGGCCAGGGGAGACGUCACUGCUGCACCCGGAAAUUGGACAUCACUACUGUCACUCAGCCAUCUUUACUAAAAUGUGUUCUGCACAGUCCCAGCCUCUCUGUCACCUCAUUCUGGCUCCGAGGCUGGCAGUGAUAUAGGAGUUAAGAAGAAAUUAUUUAGACAGAUAGUGAGGGUACGGAAGGCUUUUAAUGAAAAGCAGCCUCCAAAUUAUUUUCUUUUCUAACAAGGUGCAGCCUGUAAUAUCAAGCUUCAGACAUAGACAAGUAAGCUGGAAGCUUGCACGGGUGAAUGCCGGCAGCUGUGCGAAUAGGAAUAGGACACCUGGGACUGGGCAUGUUCACAAUGGCAACUCCAUCUUCCCUUCUCUUUGCCAGGCACGUUUACAGUAAGGAGCAGAAGACAUGGUGCCGGCCAAGUGGAAAGCCCAUUUGCAUAAUAGGAUGAGGGUGGGGUGAACAGCCUUCCACUGGCACUAUGAAAAGCUGACCAGCAUUUACCACCAACAGAGACCUUCAAUCUGAUCAGAAACAUUUACAAUCUAUUCUCUCUGAAGCCUGGCACCUGGAGGCGUCAUCUGCGUGAGAAAAUUUUGGACUCCACAACCUCUUAUCAUAACCCAGACGUUCCUUUCUGUUGAUAGUAACUCAACCAAUUGCCAAUCAGAAAAAUUAAAAAUCUAAUUAUAACCCA
This is a non-coding RNA of Macaca mulatta (Rhesus monkey), 2119 nucleotides long. NCBI's taxonomy places the organism in Eukaryota, Metazoa, Chordata, Mammalia, Primates, Cercopithecidae. The record is from RefSeq and is a predicted model, not a curated record.